UUCAGCAACCUGAUAAAAUACCUGAACGUAAAAAUUGUAAGACUGGCAGGCUGCGGCCACCAAAGCAGCAGCGGCACACUGUUCUAGGGGCUCCCAGAGGAGUGAGGGAGAUACCACCAGGAUUAACACAAGGAGCUAGAUCAGCAGGCAAAAUGGUAGACUAUUUACCUUACAUCCCUCCAUAUCUUCAAAUAGUUUUUUAUUUUAUGAAUGUUUCAGGGGGUUAAUACUGCCUCAUGGAUCUUUACAUUAAAGAGAAGGUGCAAGCCAUAUAAAAGUAAUGGGAUACUCUAUUUAUCUUUCAUAUGGUUAUUUUCAGCCAUUGCCUUUGUUGAAAGCAUCCAUUGAUUAAACCAAAGUUGCCUCUG
This is a long non-coding RNA of Chelonoidis abingdonii (Abingdon island giant tortoise), 368 nucleotides long. RefSeq lists it as uncharacterized. The record is from RefSeq and is a predicted model, not a curated record. NCBI's taxonomy places the organism in Eukaryota, Metazoa, Chordata, Testudines, Testudinidae.